Neolamprologus brichardi is the source of this 161-nucleotide non-coding RNA. The record is from RefSeq and is a predicted model, not a curated record. NCBI's taxonomy places the organism in Eukaryota, Metazoa, Chordata, Actinopteri, Cichliformes, Cichlidae.
CAGUGACAGGAGUAUUAUGAUUACCAGGUGUUUGAGCCACCUCAACUAUACUCGGGACUGCAUCUCUGAGGGAAUACAGCACAGAGCAAGUUGUGACACUGACUGCAGUACUCCUGGAGGAGGUAGGAAACAGCAAAGCAGGAAAUUAUACUGUUAAUUAU